GACGAACGCUGGCGGCAUGCUUAACACAUGCAAGUCGAACGCUGAAGCUCAGCUUUUGUUGGGUGGCUGAGUGGCGCACGGGUGAGUAACACGUGAGUAACCUGCCUCCUUCUUUGGGAUAACGCCCGGAAACGGGUGCUACUACUGGAUAUUCACUGGUCUUCGCAUGGGGGCUGGUGGCAAGGGUUUUUCUGGUGGGGGAGGGGCUCGCGGCCUAUCAGCUUGUUGGUGGGGUGAUGGCCUACCAAGGCGUUGACGGGUAGCCGGGCUGAGAGGGUGACCUGGCACUGUGAGACGGACAUACGGCCCAGGCGCGGACGCGGGGGAGCAUUGGGGAAUAUGGGACAAUGGGCGAAAGAGUGAUGCAGCGUCGCUGCAGAAGGGAUGGGGGCCGUCGGGUUGUGAACGUUGUGCGCUAAGGGUCAAGCCGCAACAAUGGUUGUGGUGAGGGUAGUGGGUAAAGAAGCGCCGGCUAACUACGUG
This 483-nucleotide ribosomal RNA is filed under the name uncultured bacterium. Its description in RNAcentral is "partial 16S ribosomal RNA". It matches the Rfam family "Bacterial small subunit ribosomal RNA", at positions 28 to 507 of the family's 1533-position model. The record is from RNAcentral.